UACGGAGGGGGCUAGCGUUGUUCGGAAUGACUGGGCGUAAAGGGCGCGUAGGCGGCGAUUCAAGUCAGGUGUGAAAGGCCUGGGCUCAACCCGGGAACUGCACUUGAUACUGAAUUGCUUGAGUCCGGGAGAGGAUGGCGGAAUUCCCAGUGUAGAGGUGAAAUUCGUAGAUAUUGGGAAGAACACCAGUGGCGAAGGCGGCCAUCUGGACCGGUACUGACGCUGAGGCGCGAAAGCGUGGGGAGCGAACGGG
This 253-nucleotide ribosomal RNA is filed under the name uncultured bacterium. RNAcentral describes it as "partial 16S ribosomal RNA". It matches the Rfam family "Bacterial small subunit ribosomal RNA", at positions 524 to 776 of the family's 1533-position model. The record is from RNAcentral.